RNAcentral lists this ribosomal RNA (301 nucleotides) under uncultured bacterium. Its description in RNAcentral is "partial 16S ribosomal RNA". It matches the Rfam family "Bacterial small subunit ribosomal RNA", at positions 509 to 809 of the family's 1533-position model. The record is from RNAcentral.
CAGUAGCCGCGGUAAUACGUAGGGUGCGAGCGUUAAUCGGAAUUACUGGGCGUAAAGCGUGCGCAGGCGGUUAUAUAAGACAGAUGUGAAAUCCCCGGGCUCAACCUGGGACCUGCAUUUGUGACUGUAUAGCUAGAGUACGGUAGAGGGGGAUGGAAUUCCGCGUGUAGCAGUGAAAUGCGUAGAUAUGUGGAGGAAUACCGAUGGCGAAGGCAGCCCCCUGGGAUAACACUGACGCUCAUGCACGAAAGCGUGGGGAGCAAACAGGAUUAGAUACCCGAGUAGUCCCUGUCUCUUAUAU